AUAAGUGUGUGUUUCUACUUCUGGAAACAAACGCGAUUGUGUUGUAAUCAUGGCAGACUUGGUAACAGACAAAGAAGACGACUAUUUAUGGACAAAUGAGGAUUCACAACUUUAUAUUUUUAAAGCUGACUAUAUGGAGGAUAAACUGCUACUUAUAGAAGCAAGUGCGAAGAACAGGAUGAAACGCUGGAACAGACAGAAGCCGAGAGAGUUAGGUCGGUGUGACUUAACGCUGUAAAUGUGGAACUUUGAGCCAAGCUAUGCCAAAAUAAAUGGUGUACUUACCAAAAUCAAUGGGAAAUGUCCCAGGCCAGCUUGAGAAAUCGAACAACUGUCCAUCGAGCGGGGAUCGGAACUCUUUGGUCUUCUUGGCAGUGAGAGCAGCAGACAUGUUCAGCGCAAGCAUCACCUCAUUGUAGCGAAACCUCUGGUUUUCUUGGAGGGAGGCUACAAAGUCAUCAGAGAAGGCCACUACUGCUUCAAUACGAUGACGCACCUGGCAGUCGCAUAGGGGAAAUUCAGGGCUGUACUGGUAAGACUCUCCUGAUCCUGAUCCGUUGUUGCAAUUGGAUCGAGAUGACGAUCCAGGGCCACAGACAAAACUGGGAGAUGAAAAGUGCAUUCUGGGUCUUAGGGAAGUGCUGAGACCAAUGCCAGGCAAGCCAUGUUUCUUCUGCUCAUCAGGAAACAGGGUUAUACUCUUGGUUUCUCCUGUCAUUGGAACAAUGUACUCAUUGUUCAUCAUGAGGCGAGCUGUCGCAUAGCUGCUAAGGUGGAUGUCGAUCAGGAGGUCAUAGUAGCCUGUGCGAAGCAAACCUAAACGUCACACAGAAACAUAUAACUGUUAGAACAUACAAGUAGACAUAUUAUGCUCUCAGAGCCCUAUUCUCUCAUGUGCUUAAGUGAAAAAAGAUGCGCAAUUGCAUAGAUUCUGGCCGUGGACCAUUCUUCCCCAAACGAUUUUCGUUGGACAAUGAUCAUUGAACAAUGCGACUAUUUAAUAGAAAUAGUGUAUCAGGAUGCUAAGGCAGAGGAGGUGAUCAACAACUAUUGUUGAUUGAUCACCAACAGGAAUGUAGCAAGCAUAAUAACUGAAAAAUGUAACACAUUUUAAUCAAUUGAUUUGAUAGUUUUUUGACAGAUAGUGUCAACUUGUCAGCUGUCACUCUUCAUCCUCCACACACACACACGCACACACACACGUGUCACGGCUUCACAAACAUUCUAUAUAUCACAAAAAACAUCAGGGUGGUUGAACUAAAUAAGUUAGGCAAAGUUUAAUCUACAGAUUAUUAUUAUUAUUAUAUACAACUUAAAGGGAAACUACUUUUUUUUUUUUUAGAAUUUUGCCUAUCGUUCAAAACAUUAUGAAAAAAAAUUACGACGGAUGUAUUUUUUUUAAUGCAUUCUAAAUUUCUAUAUUUCAUUGCAGAACCUCUUAAGCGUAUUUUUAAUCUUUCUUUGUCUAGUAAUGAGAAUCCUAACAUUUGGAAAUCUGCCUAUGUUUUACCGUUGUUGAAAUGAGGAGAUCCCACAGCUGUUAAUAACUAUAGACCCAUUUCUUAGUUAUGCGUCCUAGCUAAAGUUCUUGAAAAGAUUGUUAGUGAACAACUUAAAGUAUUCUUAGACACCUAUGGUCUGCUUUCUGCACAUCCAUCAGGUUUAAGAAAGAGACAUAGCACCAUAACCACUGCUAUCAAAGUUGUAAAUGACAUUAUUGAGGCAUUGGAUUGCAAAAAAUUAUUAUUAUAAUUUUUUUUUUUAAACUGGAUACUGUACAUCACUGUGCCUUACGUUUUAUUACUAGUUGUGACAACCUUGUCCACCAUUGCACUUAGAAGGCAAAGGCAAACUGUCUAUCUUUUCUCUAUGGUUGUGUUUUAUAUAUAAAUCACUUCUUGGUCUGGUUCUCCUUAAUUUGUGUUCUUUUAUGUCUAAAUCGCUACGGCUUAAGGUCGCAGGACAUACUUAUAAUGUUUGUUCCUAGAGCCAACACAAAUCUUGGAAAAAAUGCUUUCAAACAUGCUACUCCAUGGUGAUGAAAUACCUUACAAAAGCAUCUGAGGUUACCUGAACUGAUCACUUUGGGAGAAUUUCAGGCUAUUUUAAAAGAUCGAGAAAUUGCUUCUUUUGGGCAUUGCACUUAUAAGUUGUUUUUACUGAAACAUUUCAUGCAUUGUUUUUAUGUUAAUAUAUGUAAGUAAUUUAUUUUCAGCUGUGGUGUGUGACUCUCGCUGUUUUCUGUUGUUUUUAUAUGUAUUUCUGUAACUUUGUUUUUGCUGCCGUCUUGGCCAGGUCACUCUUGUAAAAAAAGAUUUUAAUCCAAUGAGUUUUGACCUGGUUAAAUAAAGGAUAUUGAUUGAUUGAUUGAUUGAUUGCUUUAGUACCGACGUAGUUCACUGUGUCUUAUCCGUGGUUUGUGUUUUAGCUU
Entelurus aequoreus (snake pipefish) is the source of this 2431-nucleotide long non-coding RNA. RefSeq lists it as uncharacterized. The record is from RefSeq and is a predicted model, not a curated record. NCBI's taxonomy places the organism in Eukaryota, Metazoa, Chordata, Actinopteri, Syngnathiformes, Syngnathidae. The transcript is spliced from 3 exons.